GUGGGGAAUCUUAGACAAUGGGCGCAAGCCUGAUCUAGCCAUGCCGCGUGAGCGAUGAAGGCCUUAGGGUUGUAAAGCUCUUUCAGUGGGGAAGAUAAUGACUGUACCCACAGAAGAAGCCCCGGCUAACUCCGUGCCAGCAGCCGCGGUAAUACGGAGGGGGCUAGCGUUGUUCGGAAUUACUGGGCGUAAAGCGCACGUAGGCGGACUGGAAAGUCAGGGGUGAAAUCCCGGGGCUCACCCCCGGAACUGCCUUUGAAACUCCUGGUCUUGAGGGCGAGAGAGGUGAGUGGAAUUCCGAGUGUAGAGGUGAAAUGCGUAGAUAUUCGGAGGAACACCAGUGGCGAAGGCGGCUCACUGGCUCGAUACUGACGCUGAGGUGCGAAAGCGUGGGGAGCAAACAGGAUUAGAAACCCGAGUAGUCC
RNAcentral lists this ribosomal RNA (425 nucleotides) under uncultured bacterium. Its description in RNAcentral is "bacterial SSU rRNA". It matches the Rfam family "Bacterial small subunit ribosomal RNA", at positions 354 to 796 of the family's 1533-position model. The record is from RNAcentral.